This 497-nucleotide ribosomal RNA is filed under the name uncultured bacterium. RNAcentral describes it as "partial 16S ribosomal RNA". It matches the Rfam family "Bacterial small subunit ribosomal RNA", at positions 28 to 507 of the family's 1533-position model. The record is from RNAcentral.
GAUGAACGCUGGCGGCGUGCCUAAUACAUGCAAGUCGAGCGAACAGACGAGGAGCUUGCUCCUCUGACGUUAGCGGCGGACGGGUGAGUAACACGUGGAUAACCUCCCUAUAAGACUGGGAUAACUUCGGGAAACCGGAGCUAAUACCGGAUACUAUAUUGAACCGCAUGGUUCAAUAGUGAAAGACGGUUUUGCUGUCACUUAUAGAUGGAUCCGCGCCGCAUUAGCUAGUUGGUAAGGUAACGGCUUACCAAGGCAACGAUGCGUAGCCGACCUGAGAGGGUGAUCAGCCACACUGGAACUGAGACACGGUCCAGACUCCUACGGGAGGCAGCAGUAGGGAAUCUUCCGCAAUGGGCGAAAGCCUGACGGAGCAACGCCGCGUGAGUGAUGAAGGUCUUCGGAUCGUAAAGCUCUGUUAUUAGGGAAGAACAAAUGUGUAAGUAACUAUGCACGUCUUGACGGUACCUAAUCAGAAAGCCACGGCUAACUACGUG